AUUGAACGCUGGCGGCAGGCCUAACACAUGCAAGUCGAGCGGAUGAAGGGAGCUUGCUCCUGGAUUCAGCGGCGGACGGGUGAGUAAUGCCUAGGAAUCUGCCUGGUAGUGGGGGCUAACGUCCGGACACGGGCGCUAAUACCGCAUCCGUCCUGAGGGAGAAAGUGGGGGAUCUUCGGACCUCACGCUAUCAGAUGAGCCUAGGUCGGAUUAGCUAGUUGGUGGGGUAAAGGCCUACCAAGGCGACGAUCCGUAACUGGUCUGAGAGGAUGAUCAGUCACACUGGAACUGAGACACGGUCCAGACUCCUACGGGAGGCAGCAGUGGGGAAUAUUGGACAAUGGGCGAAAGCCUGAUGCAGCAAUGCCGCGUGUGUGAAGAAGGUCUUCGGAUUGUAAAGCACUUUAAGUUGGGAGGAAGAGCAGUAAGUUAAUACCUUGCUGUUUUGACGUUACCAACAGAAUAAGCACCGGCUAACUUCGUG
RNAcentral lists this ribosomal RNA (484 nucleotides) under uncultured bacterium. RNAcentral's name for it is "partial 16S ribosomal RNA". It matches the Rfam family "Bacterial small subunit ribosomal RNA", at positions 30 to 507 of the family's 1533-position model. The record is from RNAcentral.